AAAGCAUCUUGCAGCACUGACUACAUUUAUGUACACAGGUUUUCACAUCUCUAACACAUCCAGCUGAAAGCAUAUCUUAAUCCAUCAAGAGGACAAUCGAAACUCUCACAUUGUUGAAGAAUACAAGCAAUAAAAACUCAUAGAUAGAAGAAUCAGAUGUGCUCUGAUACCACAUGACUCUAGAAGGAGCCAAAGCAAAAAAGAAUCAUGCAUCUCUUAGGCAAGCUCUCCUCUUUUGAUACCAACUUCUCUAGUCUCAUAAAAACGC
This 268-nucleotide unclassified non-coding RNA is filed under the name Hevea brasiliensis (rubber tree). Lineage: Eukaryota; Viridiplantae; Streptophyta; Magnoliopsida; Malpighiales; Euphorbiaceae. The record is from RNAcentral.